Small nuclear RNA from Piliocolobus tephrosceles (Ugandan red Colobus), 194 nucleotides. Its record names the gene U2. It matches the Rfam family "U2 spliceosomal RNA". Rfam says of the family: U2 is a small nuclear RNA (snRNA) component of the spliceosome (involved in pre-mRNA splicing). Complementary binding between U2 snRNA (in an area lying towards the 5' end but 3' to hairpin I) and the branchpoint sequence (BPS) of the intron results the bulging out of an unpaired adenosine, on the BPS, which initiates a nucleophilic attack at the intronic 5' splice site, thus starting the first of two transesterification reactions that mediate splicing. Lineage: Eukaryota; Metazoa; Chordata; Mammalia; Primates; Cercopithecidae. The record is from Ensembl.
AUCGUUUCUCGGGUUUUUUGGUUAAGAGGAAGUGUGGUAUUUGUUUUUGUGAAUUUAGUAUCUGUACACGUUUUCUAUCCGAAGACAGUAUAUUAAAUGGAUUUUUGGAGGAGAGAGAUGGAAUAGGAGCUUUCUCUAUUUGCUACACGAAUCGACCUGGUAUUGCUAGUACUUCCAGAAACGGUGCACAUUUC